RNAcentral lists this ribosomal RNA (119 nucleotides) under Triticum aestivum (bread wheat). The record is from RNAcentral. Lineage: Eukaryota; Viridiplantae; Streptophyta; Magnoliopsida; Poales; Poaceae.
GGAUGCGAUCAUACCAGCACUGAAGCACCGGAUCCCAUUAGAACUCCGAAGUUAAGCGUGCUUGGGCGAGAGUAGUACUAGGAUGGGUGACCUCUUGGGAAGUCCUCAUGUUGCAUUCC